Molecule: ribosomal RNA, 54 nt
Filed under: Hematodinium sp. ex Chionoecetes bairdi
Lineage: Eukaryota; Dinophyceae; Syndiniales; Syndiniaceae
Description: partial 5.8S ribosomal RNA
Source: RNAcentral
AUUUUAGCGAUGAAUGCCUCGGCUCGGGUUACGAUGAAGAACGCGCGAAAUGCG